CGGCGGACGGGUGAGUAACGCGUAGGCAACCUGCCCUUAGCAGAGGGAUAGCCAUUGGAAACGAUGAUUAAAACCUCAUAAAGCCGUAGGAGCACAUGCUCCAUCGGCCAAAGAUUUAUCGGCUAAGGAUGGGCCUGCGUCUGAUUAACCUAGUUGGUGAGGUAACGGCUCACCCAAGGUGACGAUCAGUAGCCGACCUGAGAGGGUGAUCGGCCACAUUGGAACUGAGACACGGUCCAAACUUCUACGGAAGGCAGCAGUAAGGAAUCUUGCACAAUGGGGGAAACCCUGAUGCAGCAACGCCGCGUGAACGAUGAAGGCCUUCGGGUUGUAAAGUUCUGAUCUUGGGGAAGAAGAAAGUGACGGUACCCAAGGAGAAAGCCCCGGCUAAAUACGUGCCAGCCGCCGC
Molecule: ribosomal RNA, 409 nt
Filed under: uncultured bacterium
Lineage: Bacteria
Description: bacterial SSU rRNA
Rfam family: Bacterial small subunit ribosomal RNA
Source: RNAcentral